AGUCGUAACAAGGUUUCCGUAGGUGAACCUGCGGAAGGAUCAUUACUAAAUCCACGAUGAUAACGCUGUUGAACCGUUGUGCGCGGGGUGCGCGGAGGGAAUUGCGAGAUUGCGAGAUUGCGAGAUUGCGAGAUUGCGAGAUUUCCGACGCGCACCGACACGCCACACACACGCUGAUGUACGAAUGGACAGUGAUUUUAUUAUUAUAUCAUAAAAAGCACAACUUUUAACAAUGGAUCUCUUGGCUCUU
RNAcentral lists this unclassified non-coding RNA (250 nucleotides) under fungal sp. RNAcentral's name for it is "partial internal transcribed spacer region". The stretch from base 1 to 45 matches the Rfam family "Eukaryotic small subunit ribosomal RNA", at positions 1787 to 1831 of the family's 1831-position model. The record is from RNAcentral. Lineage: Eukaryota; Fungi.